AGGAAAUGUGAUGAAAAGGGAAUCAGGUGAAAAUCCUGAACAGUCCCGCUGCUGUAAUUCUCACAAAAGAUGGAGAUUAACAAAUACCCUCCGCCACUGAACCUGACGUUCGGGAAGGCGUUUUUUCUCCAGAGAUAAGUCAGAAGACCUGCCGUACAAAAU
This 162-nucleotide non-coding RNA is filed under the name Coprobacter secundus. The record is from RNAcentral. Lineage: Bacteria; Pseudomonadati; Bacteroidota; Bacteroidia; Bacteroidales; Barnesiellaceae.